GGGGCGGAAGCUCAAUGGUCGAGCAGCCUGCUCAUAACGGGUUGGAACAGGGUUCGAUCCCCUGACGCCCCA
RNAcentral lists this transfer RNA (72 nucleotides) under Tuwongella immobilis. Its description in RNAcentral is "Planctomycetes bacterium MBLW1 tRNA". It matches the Rfam family "tRNA". From Rfam's summary of the family: Transfer RNA (tRNA) molecules are approximately 80 nucleotides in length. Their secondary structure includes four short double-helical elements and three loops (D, anti-codon, and T loops). Further hydrogen bonds mediate the characteristic L-shaped molecular structure. tRNAs have two regions of fundamental functional importance: the anti-codon, which is responsible for specific mRNA codon recognition, and the 3' end, to which the tRNAs corresponding amino acid is attached (by aminoacyl-tRNA synthetases). tRNAs cope with the degeneracy of the genetic code in two manners: having more than one tRNA (with a specific anti-codon) for a particular amino acid; and 'wobble' base-pairing, i.e. permitting non-standard base-pairing at the 3rd anti-codon position. Lineage: Bacteria; Pseudomonadati; Planctomycetota; Planctomycetia; Gemmatales; Gemmataceae. The record is from Rfam by way of RNAcentral.